CCCUUAGAUGUUCUGGGCUGCACGCGUGCUACACUGAUAUUGCCAAUAUGUCAUUCUUAUCCGAAAUGGAUUGGGUAAUCAAGUAAUGAAAUUUCAUGCUUGGAAUCGGUAAUUGCAAUUUUAUCGUGAACGAGGAAUUCCUAGUAAGCACUAGUCAUCAGCUAAUGUUGAUUAUGUCCCUGCCCUUUGUACACACCGCCCGUCGCCACUACUGAUUGGGUGUUCAAGUGAGAUGCUUAGACCCUUGUUGCAUGGUUCAUUAUUGUGCUCCGAAAGGAAAAAGUUUCAAGCUUGAGUGUCUAGAGGAAGUAAAAGUCGUAACA
RNAcentral lists this ribosomal RNA (323 nucleotides) under uncultured eukaryote. RNAcentral describes it as "partial 18S ribosomal RNA". It matches the Rfam family "Eukaryotic small subunit ribosomal RNA", at positions 1470 to 1796 of the family's 1831-position model. The record is from RNAcentral.